AUUGAACGCUGGCGGCAUGCCUUACACAUGCAAGUCGAACGGCAGCACGGGGGCAACCCUGGUGGCGAGUGGCGAACGGGUGAGUAACACAUCGGAACGUGCCCAGUAGUGGGGGAUAGCUCGGCGAAAGCCGGAUUAAUACCGCAUACGACCUACGGGUGAAAGCGGGGGAUCGCAAGACCUCGCGCUAUCGGAGCGGCCGAUGUCAGAUUAGGUUGUUGGUGGGGAAAGGCCUACCAAGCCGACGAUCUGUAGCUGGUCUGAGAGGACGACCAGCCACACUGGGACUGAGACACGGCCCAGACUCCUACGGGAGGCAGCAGUGGGGAAUUUUGGACAAUGGGCGCAAGCCUGAUCCAGCCAUGCCGCGU
This 371-nucleotide ribosomal RNA is filed under the name uncultured bacterium. RNAcentral's name for it is "bacterial SSU rRNA". It matches the Rfam family "Bacterial small subunit ribosomal RNA", at positions 29 to 402 of the family's 1533-position model. The record is from RNAcentral.